Molecule: long non-coding RNA, 2966 nt
Organism: Mirounga angustirostris (Northern elephant seal)
Lineage: Eukaryota; Metazoa; Chordata; Mammalia; Carnivora; Phocidae
Exons: 9
Source: RefSeq, a predicted model, not a curated record
UGCAGGCAGGCUGUCCCUGCAGGUCAGGCGAGGCUCUGUGCUGGCAAAGAGGUUAAAGCCCUUGCAGGGAUCUCCUUCCCAAGCGUUCCUGUUUCCUUAGGAAGAAGACUUCCCUGUUCAUGAUUAGAUGGCCACCGGUGUGAACGUGGGGGAUGGAGAGCCAGCAGACACACUUUGUUUCCUAAGCUGAUGCCACCCUGUAUUGACUGCCUACUUUCUGCCAGGAGAAGCUAAGUGCUGCAGACCAACUUGAUGCCAGCCUCUGCAAGAAUCCUCUCCAGAUUCUCCAGUAGGGAAAGAGGACACAUGCAUAAUGCAACUGGAGCAUAGUACCAGAAUGAUAUUUACUAGCCCUCACUUGAUCUUGGAGCACAAGGAUGGCACAGCUGGCUCCAGCCAAGAAAAGAUCACUCUCCAAGCACGACAGAAAGGAAGCGUUUUUUCCUGAUGCCUGUUGCUGAAGGCUACCUUGCAAUCAUAAUAAGAAGCACAAGGUAUAAUAGGGUCAGAGGACUGAAAGUGAAGAAGAGUCACCUUAGGAUGCACAAUUCAUGGAGAGAGACUUUGCACUUCCAGCCCAUGGGAGGUGCUUCCCUCCCUGAAGUCAAGGCCACAGCAUGGUAAUGAGAUAAGCUAUGGGCCUUCUGCCUGCUGCCAACGUUCACCGGAUGCUGACCAGAGACACAGAUGAAGGACUUCGUGACUUGGUGGUGAUGUUUCCAAGGCCUUAUGUCGAGCAGUCCUCUCUUCUGCGGUGAUUGUUAUUUAUAGCCUUAAUUUCUGGAGCAUAGGAGAAGAAGAUGGUGGUGUGCCAUCAACGGAAGGAGAAGGGAGAGAGAGACUCUCAAAGUGUCCUUUCUUAAUUAUCUGCAUGCACAGAGUUUUCCUUCAUUGGAGGAUAAAUCUUGAUAUGAUCAGGAUUUGGGACACUUUUCCUAGUGUUUGAGGAUCAAGGUUGAUGGUCAAGUCUAAUGGUUGGAGAUGAAGGGAACUAUGUCACAUAUAAGUGCACAGCUGCUGUCACAACUCCUACAAAUGUGAAAGUGGCUUCAGAAUUAGUGAUAGGUAAUGGAAGAAUUUUGAGAAGCAUGAUAGAAAAAGCCCAGACUGCCUUGAAGGGACUGUUGGUGGAAAGACGGAAGUUAAACAUGUUUCUGGUGAGAUCUCCGAAGGAAAUGAGGCACAUAUUUGAAACUAGAGGAAAAACAGUUGUUUUUAUCAAGUGGCAGAGAACUUGGAUGGACUGCGUUCCACUGUUGGUUGGAAAGCAGAACUUGUAAAUGAUGAACUUGGAUAUUUUGUGAGAUUUCCAAGCAAAGUAUGAAAGGUGCAGCUUGUUUUUUCCUUGUUGCUUAUAGUCAAAUGAGAGAAGAAUAAGAAAUUGAGAGAAAAAAUGUUAAACAAAAAAGAACGAGCAUUUGAUGAUUUGAGAGGUUCUCAAACUAUCCAGAUUGCAAAGGAUGCUAAAAUUAGGAAAUUCACUGUUGAGGAAAAAUAUUCUGAAGAGAAGUCCAAGGGUAUUGCUGGACAACCUUUUGCUGAAGAGAUUAGGUAUGUGGCUUGGAUCCAAUUAGCCAUCUCAGAAGAAUUCUGGGAUCGAGAUGGGGUUAUUCAGGGAGAAUCUUGUUUAAUGAAUGGAUCCCCUUGACAUACAUGGGAGGACCAUGAGGUUUUUGGGAAUGCCAACAGAAACACUUCCAGGUUGGACUGGAAAGGAACAGUAACUGAACAGAAUUAAAGAAAAAAAAAAAGGUUGUCAGCUUUCCAUAAUUCAAUAAAUAGGAAAUGAGCUACAAGACUGCAAAUGUGUGCUACUCUUCAAGGAGCAGGAAGAAUGGCUUGCAGUAUGGAGAUGCAGGCCCAGGAGCUGAGGGUACAGGAGCAGCUGCUGGGGACACAGUGGAUGAUGGGGCUACUGUGGAGGGGCAGGAGGUGAUGGAGCUAGCUGUGUGCCCAGAGGUGGAAGCCGUGAGCCACAGAGGACAAUUUGCAAGUCUUGAAACCUAAAGGAAUUUUCCUUGUUGGGUUUUGAACUCUGCUGGGGCCAGUGAUUCCUUAAUUCCUUCCAGUUUCUCCCUUUUGGAGAGAGAAUGCCUACCUUACAGCUGUACCACUAUUGUAUUUUGGAAGUAGAUAAUUUGUCUUCUAGUUCACAAGUCCACAGAUGGAGAAGAAUUUUGCUAUAGGAUGCAUUGGUCCUGGAAUCUCAAUCAUACCUGACUCAGAUGAUUUAGGUGAUGAAACCGGGGACCUUUUGAACUGAUAAUAUUUAUAGAAGACCUUGGACUUAGUUGAUGUUUUCAUGAGUUGUCUUAACUUUGGGGAUGUGGGGAUGGAGGGAAUAUACUUUUCACAGGGAAUGGACACAAAGUCAGAGGCCACAGUGCAGAAUGUGGUGGGUUGAAUAGAGGACCUCCAAAAUUAUGUCCAUCCAGAACCUCAGAAUGUGACCUUAUUUGGAAUAAAGGUAUUUGCAGAUGUAAUUAAGGUAAGAAUCUUGAGAGGAGCUCAUCCUGGAUUAGGAUGAAACUUAAAUCCAAUGAUGAGUAUCCUCAUAAGAGACAGAAAAGAAGAGACACAGAGACACAGGGAAGAAGUUUACAUGAAGCUGGAAUUAGAGAAUGAAAUGUUGCUGCCACAAGCCAAGGAAUGCCAGGAGCCUCCAACAUGCUGGAAGGACAAGAAAGGAUUUUUCACUAGAGAGCAUGGCCCUGCUGGCACCUUGGUUUCCAACCUCUGAUCUCCAAACCUGGGAGAGAAUAUAUUUCUGUUGUUUUAAGCCACCAGAUUUGUGGUAAUUUGUUAGGAUAGUCCUAAAAAACUAAUACAUAGCCUUAUAUCACUUAUUUAUAAUUUGUGUUAUUUAUAAACACAAAUUAGCAUUUAUUAUGUGACUGCUCUUUGUGAAAGGCACUGACCUAGGUGCUGGGGAUAUAACAGUGAGCAAAAUACAUUUGUAAAAUAUA